Molecule: ribosomal RNA, 570 nt
Filed under: uncultured bacterium
Lineage: Bacteria
Description: bacterial SSU rRNA
Rfam family: Bacterial small subunit ribosomal RNA
Source: RNAcentral
GACGAUGCGUAGGGGUUCUGAGAGGAAGGUCCCCCACACUGGUACUGAGACACGGACCAGACUCCUACGGGAGGCAGCAGUGAGGAAUAUUGGUCAAUGGCCGGGAGGCUGAACCAGCCAAGUCGCGUGAGGGAAGACGGCCCUACGGGUUGUAAACCUCUUUUGUCAGGGAGCAAGAGGCGGGUCGAGACCUGCUGUGAGAGUACCUGAAGAAAAAGCAUCGGCUAACUCCGUGCCAGCAGCCGCGGUAAUACGGAGGAUGCGAGCGUUAUCCGGAUUUAUUGGGUUUAAAGGGUGCGCAGGCGGAGGCACAAGUCAGCGGUAAAAUCGCGGGGCUCAACCCCGCUCCGCCGUUGAAACUGUGUCCCUUGAGUGCGCGAAGGGUAGGCGGAAUGCGUGGUGUAGCGGUGAAAUGCAUAGAUAUCACGCAGAACUCCGAUCGCGAAGGCAGCCUACCGGCGCGCAACUGACGCUCAUGCACGAAAGCGUGGGUAUCGAACAGGAUUAGAUACCCUGGUAGUCCACGCAGUAACCGAUGAAUGCUAUCUGUCCGGCCGGAAUGACGGCUGG